AUUCUUUUAGUAUAAAUAAGUAUAUUUAACUUCCAAUUAAAAGGUUUAAUUAAUAAAAAGAAUA
RNAcentral lists this transfer RNA (64 nucleotides) under Opistoplatys sp. HL-2013. RNAcentral's name for it is "tRNA-Gly". Lineage: Eukaryota; Metazoa; Arthropoda; Insecta; Hemiptera; Reduviidae. The record is from RNAcentral.